RNAcentral lists this unclassified non-coding RNA (4047 nucleotides) under Leishmania donovani. RNAcentral's name for it is "gene:LdHU3.32.2260(CDS-product:hypothetical_prote in_conserved)". The record is from RNAcentral. Lineage: Eukaryota; Euglenozoa; Kinetoplastea; Trypanosomatida; Trypanosomatidae.
AGGAACCGAGGAACAUAAGACGGCAGUCCCUGAGCUGGAUUGAGCGGUAACAUCCUUUUUUUUUUGUCGUGUCUUCUGAGCAUCUACCAGGUUGCACACCUAAACACACACACACACACAACGACGACGACGGGGCUUUAGUGAGUCGCUGCUCUCCACCUUCCGGUUCCUGUCCGCCUAAUCAAGCGGUGAUACAGGCGCGUAGAGGCUUUGUCCUCUGUGAAGCACUCUCCUGCUCUCUCCUUAUCGCCACAUCAUUCGUCAGCGACACAAGCACUCUUCACGUAUCCCGUCAAGAGAGGGGACGCGUGACCGCAUUGCCGGCUCGAAACCUUCUUCGUGCAUCUGUUUCGUGUAGCUGAUAUUGCCGAGCUUGGGCUCCCACCCAAGGCGGAGAUUGUUUACAACUCCGCAAGAGUCGGGGAUCGGACCGUUUAGAGGCCAGCUGCUCCUCUGCUUGGGCGCCUCCUCCUAGAACCGUGCACGAGGACAAGGUGCGACUCGGUGGCAAGGGGAGCGGCGGGCUGGAGGGUCAUCCAUAGAAAGCGGUUACCAAAUCAUAGAGCUGCCCGGAUCUUCGAUCGACCAUAACUUGUGAGAGGGGACACCAUAGAUCAAACACAGAGCGUACCGCUCUCUCUCUCUCUUUCCCAUCGCUGCAGAUUCAUCGCCGUUGCUGUUUUUCGCGCGUCCUCUGUGACUGCGUGUCGCGAGUGCGGCCAUUCUCCUUAUCCUGUUUCCUCAGGCAAAGCAAUGCAGUCGCUAUCCAAGUACAAGGAGACGAUUGUCUUCGUCUCCUGCGCUACAUUACUCCUUGGAACGGUAUUGGUGCUUCAAAAGGCAACCACACCCUCACGUCAUCGACGCCGCGCCGCCUUGUCGGUGUCGCGUGCAGGCACCGUGACCCGCUCGGCAAGCCACGGCGCGGCUGGCGCUCGCAGCCGCAGCUCGAGCCGGCCUCGCGUGGCACACAUGAGCCACGCACACAACAGUGCCGCGCCCACGACGGCCACAGCAAUCGAUCGCAUCCACGCUGCGAAGAGCCGUGAGUUGUCGCAAGCACACUCGCAUCGACACCACUCUCACCCUCGAAACGGCGGCGUGUGGGCGGAAGCUGCCACAUCUCGUAUCGAGAGCUCGGACGCGACUCCACCGCCGAAGCUAACGGUAGAGGCAGUUGCGCAACACAAAAAGGCACUGGGCACGGCCAGCGCACUGCAGGAUCCAGGGCACAGCGACCUCGCUGGCAUCCACGCUCCCCGCCGCGGCGUCUCGAGUUCUGGGUACCGUGUGAACGGUGGCAGCGGCAGCGUGGAGGAUGGCGCGUACUACCGAAGCGCCUCGAACGCGGCCACUGUGGGGAGCCAAGCUCCGUCCCCGGCGCCGGCGACGGCGACGACGGUAGGCACGGAGAAGGUACCCUCUGAGGCAGCGAAGGUGGCUGAGGCGAUGACGCCUUGGCUCGCGUCACCAGCGGCUGUCGAGUCUUCGCGUGUAUGCUUUGAGGGUACCGACAGGGGCCGCAAGGAGGAAGCGGACCGCAACACUUCACCGCAGCCAGCCACGGGCACCGCGAAGCCGGUGAGGGUUGCAGCUGCAGCAGCUGCACCGGCGGCAACAAAGGCACAGCCGAGCUCUCCCAGCAUCCGUGCUUCCACGGCGCAGACGGACCCGCGGUGGUUUUGCGAAGACCGCGGCACGCAGACGGAGACAAGCGCAAUGCAAGACGCUAUCAAAUCAGCGGCAAGCGCGACGCCAGAUCGGUGGCUGGCGGCGGCGAUGAUGAGUCCGAUCAUGCCUACCGGCGAGAACGUGAGCGACUCCAUGCUGAUCCAUUGUGCCGACUUGGGGUGGACGCCGUUGCACGACGGCGCGGCAUCAACCGGAGGGGCAGUGCACGCAGAGAAGCGCGCGUGCGAACACACUCAGCCCCCUGUGGGCGACAAGGCAGAGUCGGUUGUGAUCCCGCGGUACUUCCUGCGGCAACUGGAGCGGCAGCUGCGACUCCUCGUGGACGACCUGGCACAGGAGGAGUGGAAUGAGCGAGCAUGGAUGUGCCUGUACACUUACCUCUCCGAGUUGCCUUUGAGUGUACGUACAUCUCUGACGUCGCGUGACCGCUGCAGCGCUGCCACUGUCGCGCAGCUGGUGGACCGGAUGAUGGCGAACGCUCUCACCGAAGGCAACCUUGUUGAGGAGACGGUGGCGAUGGCGAACAAGUCGGCAGAGCAAAAUCCCAUCCCCAGCCUUCCUCGGGAAGUGCUGCAUCUUCUUCAGCAUAGCACGGCGAUCGACCCUGAGUUCCACUUUGAGUGGAAGGGCUCCACUGUAGCGUACGUCGAGGGGCCAUUGGGGUCCGCCUCGCGACGGGCUCGCAAGUCAGCGGUGGCGAGCAAGGGAGAGGUGGGCGAUUUGCCGCAUGUGCUGCCGCCCUCCUCGUCGCUUUCUUCGACAUCAGUUGCUCUCACAGACGAUGAGGAGGAGAGGUCGUGGAUGGACGACGAGGAGGUCGGGUGCACCUCCCGCUUUCUCUCCUUCAUUGCGGCACACAUCAAAAAGUACAGCGACCUUCGCCUGCGCGGCGCGGCUACACAAUUUCCAGAGCCGGGUACGGGGGAGCUGCGGACACCUCCCGGCGCCACGGGAGUCGCCCAGGCAGGAGCCUAUGAGCUUUCGACACCGCCGACGAAUAGGCGAAGCGACGCAGACACGGCGCUGCAGCACCAGUUCCGUGACCAGCAAGACCAGCUCGCGUCGAUCCUGGCGUCCUUUGUGCGGCUGCGUCACACGCCGCUCUUUCAGACACUGCGCCACACCUCGGAGCACGCUCUGUUUGCGUGCGACUUUAUUGAGCUAGCAUCCGCAGCGGAGCGCCUGCUGGAGCGUGCUUCCCCGGCUUCCGCCGCUACACUGCUGCUGGAAAUUCCAAUGGAAGAGAGGCGCGUGAUGACUGAGGCGACGGAUGCCCGCGACACGAGUGUCGGCACGAGCACAUCUGUCGGGUCGGGGUCCAGCCCCACGACUGGCCCCAGUGCCCGCCACAGCGUCAGAGUACGCACGCCGAUGAAGCCGAGCAUCCGGCAUCCGAUCCAGCGCAUGCUAUCGAACUUGCCGUCGCCGAGCGGAUUAUCAUCGCGGCGCAGCACGCAAAUGCCCGACAUGUAUAAGCAGCUUUACUCUCCGCCAGUGCACGCCGGCGAGGAAGAGCGUGGACGGACUGUGAGCGUUGCUACUAUGCGGGGUGGUCGACUUGCUGCGGAGACGUGGGCUGCCUGACAAACCUACCGGAAAGAGAAUGUAGCCGGAGCGGCAUAGAUAAUGUUUUCUUGUUCUCCGAACCGCCGACACAUGUCUUCUAUAUUUGCGUCUCUACUAUCGUGUGCCCGAUGGAGUCUUUUGCGCACGUGUGAGCACUCCUGGCUUAAGUUGCUGAGCUUCAUAGAAGAAAUCCUGACAGAGAGCCGUAUGCUCUCCAGCGUAGUGGCUUCUUUUUUUCUCACACGGCGAGCAUGGCUUCAGGCACAGCCAAGGGUGGAUGGGUGGGGUGAUGGAGUUGCUGCAGGCCCUCUCGCAUACAGCGGCGCGGCCUUCUCGCGGGUGUGCCUCCCCCCCACCUCCCACACACGCAUACCCGUUAUACGUUGAAGGGAAGUGGGCGUCAGUUUUGAGACACACGAUGACGUCGCUCUCCUCGAGCACUGCGCACACUUCCGCCUCUUGCGUAAAGCCUUCCUGUCUCGACAACUUUUCGUCUGUUUCGGAUGGUGCGGAUUUUCCGCUUUAGCGCUGACUUCGCUUUCUUUCGCUUGUGUGUGUGCACUGUUUUGUCACCGUUGCUGUUUGAAGGCACCACUUCACCCCUGGUCCCCCCCUCCUCUGCCCAAAUUUGCGUAUGGUGUCGAUGGGAAGAGAAGGAGGAAGCGGGUGGGCAUCGCAGCCAUCGCACCAGUCGAGGUGGUCGCAUGCAAGUCCUUUGUUGUGUGCAUUCCUUCCGUGAUUGCGUAAUCGUGCUUGAUGGAAGUAUGCUCGACGCAGGACGACACGCAG